Molecule: long non-coding RNA, 5378 nt
Organism: Equus caballus (horse)
Lineage: Eukaryota; Metazoa; Chordata; Mammalia; Perissodactyla; Equidae
Source: RefSeq, a predicted model, not a curated record
CACCAAAGAAAAAAAAAGGGGGGGGGGGGAAGUCUCACAAUCCUGAAGGUUGGUGAGGAUGCUGAACAAGAGCUGUCAUACACAGCUAGCGGGAGAGUCAACUGCUCCAAACACUGUACUUUAGAAAACUCUCCGGCAGCAUCCACUAAAGCUGAACACACACCUAUGCUGUGGUGAGCAAUUCCAGUCCCAGGAAUCAACAGAAAGGUGUUCACAUCUGAACCAAAUGACAUGCAUGAGAACAAUUGUGGCAGCGUAAGUUGUGAGAGCCACAAAAUGAAACCAAGCCACAAGUCUCCCAGCAGACUGCAGAAAUAAAUGGUAGUGUAUUCACAAUAUGGAUAGUAAAUAGCAGUGAAGACAACAAGCCACACCUCAGGCAACAAUGUGGAUGAAUCUUGCAUACAAGACAGCACCCUAGUCUCCUCAUGGUUCCCCCAGGGGAUCUGCAGGACAUUCUAGGGACAAACUGUCCCAAAAAUUCAGUUAACACUGUGGUGCUGGAGUCAUUCCCCUCUAUAGAGCCAGGCUCCGCUCCAUACCCAGAUGUCGUAGGGGGUCAGAAAGGUGGUCCCUGAAGGAGUCUUGGGGUGAGAGGAGCCCUGUGAGAUCAAGGAACAGUGCAGGGUCUAGCAGGAGGUCCACGGCAUAGGAAUCAUAGCCCAGGUCGAGAUGGGGGAGGCCAGGCCUGGCUGUGGCUGGAGACGGUGAUUUCCGAUAGUGGGAGAGGUGGGAUGCAGAAGCCUGGGACCCCCAGGUAUGUGAUAAUAAGGGAAUGGGGACAUCUGGGAGAAUCUGAUCAGGUUUGGGGAGCUCAAUGCCCACCAGGAGUCUUUUUAGUCUCAACUAAACAUUCAGACUCACGACAGCCACAGGCUACAGGCCAGGGAAUAGAGCAAGGCAGCAGCACGCGACAGGCAAUCAUCACCAGUAGGAGCAGUCCACACGGCUGCCCUGGAGUUACUCUCCCUGCUUCUCCCUCCCCCCGCCCCCGACACCCCUAUGAUGGCUCGGGUGCAAGGGAACAGGACUCGCAUGUGUGGCUGUGGAUCCACCCUGGUUUACAAGCCCCGUGCCCCACAAGAGAUGACAGCUCUUGUCACAACCCAUAGCGUAGCUCUCAGGGUCCCCACAAGGAUCAUGCCCAGUCACAAGAAUCCCCACACCCAGGGAAGCCCAAAGCUGGGGUUCCUCUCCUGUAUUCAUGGCAGCCCUCCCAGCCCAGUUCACCAAUCAGGAGUCAUUUUUACCCUACGCAUGGUUGCUUGGUACCACAGCUGGCAGGCCAUGUUGAUCAGGUUUCCAGGGAAACAAGCUAGAACGUUAACCCAAGGUCAACUCUGUCCUUACUGAAGAAGAGAGGGUUUUGUUCAUCCUUUACCCCCAGCAUGGAAAACGAAGAGCUCACUUGUGGAUACAUGGCCUUUGAAACGCGGAUCUAGUUCCCGCGAACUGAAGGCUCUUCAUCCAAUACUCACUAUCAAAGGACCGGUAAAUAUCUUCUGGCUCACCCAGCUCUAUUUGUGGAACAUAACACCAACUUCUUGAAAGGAAAAUCCAGGAGCAGGCUCCUGGAAGGCAUUAGCGCUGUCUCUCCACUUGAGGAUUCUCCUGACAGUAACCCCGCCCAGCAAUUCCUCCGUGGUUGGUGGAAUCAGUUGUACUAAAUGAGAUUCUGAAGUUCGAGGGAGACAGGUGUGGUUGGAAUUUAGACCAGGCCUCCUAGGUCUAUCGUCACAGACAAGUGUUGCUUCUUCCAUUAAACACUUUCGAUCUGUAAAGUACACCUGCAACCCUCAGCCUCUACAAACAGAAGAAUGCUCGUGUGUGCUUUACUGGAGGGAAACGAUAAGAGGAAGAGUCAAACGUGUGCUGUAAGCUGAUGAGCUGCCCAAAAGUCACACUAAGAGAGCUAGCUGUGUGGACGUGAGUCCCCAUGUCCGGGAAGACAGGCCUUUAAAUGACCUUACUAUUGAGUAAACUGAGGCAGGUCAGGCCUAGGUGGAUACGGAGAGGGGCCAGGAGACAGAAAGAAGGAAGCGCUCUGUAUCCGAAUUGCAUAUGAGUGGCUUUGAUCAUGGGCUCCUAAGGAGGGAAGGCACUUGAGUGUUACCCUAUGUCAUAGUCAAGGGGAUUCUGACCACCACCGAGGCGGUCCAGGCCCACCUCCCCUGAGCCACCAGGUCGUCCUCUGAACUUCCCCUCCAGCGCCAGGUUCCUCCCACAUCCCCGAUGUUUCUCUCAGCUCAUCUUCACCAACAAAAGAGGAGACAUGAAGGGCCAUGGAAUGUACAUUAUUCAUUCUUUUUAAGCAUGAACAGAAGUGCAGCUGGAAAUUGGAGGCCUCAGGCAAACACAAGAGAGGGACCCGACUCUGUGAGGAGAGCUGCUCACUCACUGCUACUCUGCAACGCAAUGUGGGCUGCGUGGGUGCACGUGCCCCGACGUGGGCUCAAGAAAGCGUCGCUUCCUGUGGUACAUUGUGUGACAGGGCAGAAAACCUGGACUUUGGAGUCAGAAAGAGCCACAUCCUAAUUGCUAACUGUGGCUUUGGGCAACUUCUAACUCUGAGCCUACACAAGCUGCUGGAGGAUUUGGUGGGGUAUUAUAAGUCCUUCUGGUAGAUAUUCUGUAAAUGUUUGUGUGGUCUUUCCUCUAUCUGGAGCACACCUUGCUUUGUGUUUUUUAUCUUUCUGCAGAAUUCUGAGCCCCAUAAAGACACUUUCUAGGAAAGCUAAUGACAGACUGUCACUAAGCAAGUGACUCUUGCAGGUCCAGAGGCUAUUGUGGAACAGCACAUAGUUAAGCACCUCCAAGUCUUGAGAACAAAGUUGCCCCUGGUGUACUCAGCUCUGGGAGCUCAUGUGUGUGUCUGUGAGGCCGGGCUUUGGGCUCCUCCUCACGUUUAUCUCAUUCCAGAAAGCCAAACACAACUAGCCGAACACGCCAAUGGGUCCAGAGUGCAGCCCCAGGUCUUCUGAGUAGCACAGAAGGGGAGAAUCUGUCCAGGUUGUUGGUGCCUACAGCCCCAGGCUACAGAGAUAUCACAGAGGUAUCUGCCCCAGGGGCUAAGGAACCAUUGGCGCCAUUUCUCUGGCUGCCCAGACACUUGGCCUUCCUGGGAACUGGCUGUUUGUGCAUCAGGUCUGAUCUAGCCCACUGUUUUAGAAUGGAAGAGCUCAGUCUUGGGAAAGCAAGAACCGAUGCUGUCGAAGCCUGGGUGUGUGGGUGGCAGGGGAGAGGGCAUCAGUACUUACUGUGAUGGUGUGUAUUUGGACUGCCCUCUGCAGCCACCUCACACCUGCCUGGCAGCUACUGGAGCCCCCAGGGAUGUUCUGAACCUGACUCACUCUCCUGAAGCACUAAUACAAUAGCUCACCCAGAGCUAGUCUCUCCGGAACCACUGGGAUCCCUUGCUUCCCCUAUUCUCCUGUCUCCAAUGUCCUCUCCUCCCUGCCUUACCCAUUAUUCCCACAAAACAAAAUCCUUCAGAUUCCACUGCCUUAGGAAGUCUCCCUAAUUACUGUCCUCCAUUGUGUCACGGAAACACAUUAAUCUCUUAUCCUUAUACACUGUCAACUUCUUGGGGGUGGAGAUAAGUCCUAUCUAUCUAUCUAUCUAUCUACCUACCUACCUACCUAUCUAUCUAAAGUACCCACAAGUCUGAGCAUUGGACUUUGCAUUACCCUGGACAAAUAAAUAAACAAAGGGCCAAUGCCAGGUCAACGGUAAUGAACUCACAGUCUUCCACACUCCUUUGGGAGACCCUGAACUAAACGAAUGCUAUCAGGUGUUCAAAGCAGUGCAAUUAAUUGGUUCCAGUCUCCUGAUCACAACGGAGAAUUUCCCCAAAGCCAAUCUUGAGGCAUGGGGCCUCUUCCAGGCAGACCUGGGAAUUGACUACUCUCCAAAAUUCCUGAUCGCUCUCAAGGAGGUGAGCAUCCAGCUCUCUUCCUGAUGACAUAAAGGAAGGGAAUCAUUCCAUUUCUGUUCUUAAGGGAGCUAUAGGCAACAGUGAAGCAUGCAGGAGAAGUGGAAUGCAGAAGGUGAGGUGGGCUGGUGGGGAACAGCAGCCAGGCCAGCCCUGUCUUAGACAGGGAGAAACAGAAGCAGACCCAGAGCGGGGCCUCGUGGGUGCAAAAGAGAGGUGAGACGAGACUUGAAGUCUCCAGACUCCAAGUCAUCGACCCCACUGACAAGGUGCCAAGAGAAGCAAAGCCAGAGAACCCAAAUGGAGGCAGCUUAUUUCAUCAGCAUCCAGUUGGUUAAAAAUAACUUCACUUAUUAGUUUAAGUGAGAUCACCACAGGGCUGGAAAUUCACUGUCAGUGAAACAAAAAUACUAGAAGGAAAUGGAGAAAAGUCUACAGUCAUGAUGAACUUUAUUUCAAAAAAGAAACACAGGAGGAAGCUGCCUGAACAUUCCACAGGCUCUAUUUUCCUUCUGUGCUCAUUAUGAGGACAUGUCCGCCAUUUUGGGAGUUAGCACUCUUCAUUCUUCCUUUCUUACCAAAGAGAAGCAGCAGCACAGAGCUAAGCGCCAUGAAGCAUCAUCGGAAAAAGGGCAACCUUUGGAAAUGAUACUGCACUGGGGCGUAUGCUGAACCAGACCUCAGCUACACUCUGCAGGAACCCAAGGAACUGCUUGCUCUCUUGGGCUUUGCUAAGUCGCUGCACCUUCCUUCAGCACACAGGUUUCCUUUGUUGACUGCGCUGUCAACAAAGGCUCCACUGAGCAGGGCGGAGGGCCCUGUGGGAGCAGUUUACAUGCUCUUUCUAAAGGAUGAAAGGCAGAAGAACAGGGACAGAGCUCUCUCUGAGUUGAGGAAUCUGUCCUGCUUUUCUAGAAAGCCCAAGAGAGAGGAGCCCUCAGCAUGCAUUCCUGAGUCUCCUUCAUGCCCACCUGAAGCCUCCUCACAAAUAAGGCUCGGAGGACCAAGACUCCAGUCUUCUCCACAUAAGCCCCUCCCUGUUGACCUGGAGGCGAGGGGAGGCCAGGCUAGGCUCAGGCAAGCUGCUCUGGGAUGCAGAGCCCUUGAGCACUUUGACUCUGAGAAACCACACACAGUGCCCGCUCGCUAAAAUGGUAUCAGUCUUCACAGGAGUUGACAGGCAUCAUGAAUUUGCUUCACAGGUUGGCUCCCCAUGGCUCACAGUUUUUUCUGUUUCUUAGGGUUUGAUUUUUUUUUUGUCUUUGUUUUGGAGGACUAUGUAGACCAUUUUACUUUUUAUUGAACUUUUUUGUUUUUAUAUAAUUUCGAAGUUAUAGAAAAAUGGUAAGAAUAAGGAACUCCCAUAAUACCCUUUAUCCAGAUUUACCAAUGUAUUUUCAUUUUGCCCCAUGUGCUUUAUCAUUCUCCUCUCUCUCUAGAUAUAGAU